UGAGGGCUGUUUUAAACCUCUGGUUUUCACUUCCCGUAGUGACUACCUGCCUUUUGGUGCUUAAAAACUACCCUGAAUGAUUUCCCUGGGAGGAAAUCCCAAGUAGGUUGAACCCUAAAUGAAAACAUAAUGCAGCCUUAAAUUCUUCRAAGCUCAUUGUCCUUAUUCCUUCAUUGGCAGUUUAUUUUUUUGUAAAUGGAUGCUUUUAGCAAUCCACCCAAAUGUUUCCCCUAAGCUUGACUUUAAAUUUUAAAUUGUAAUUACAAGUUACAUAGUUACCUUCUAUAAAAUGUAAACUGCUGCUUGGUUCUUCUCAUUAAUCUGCAGUCCUUAGAAAUGUUCAAAUCCCUUAAAUCUCCUACCUUCCAAUUCCUUUAAAAUCCCUUAAAUCUGUUUUUUUCUAAACCUUUCCUUUUUAGAUACUCCAUCUCUGUUCCUUAUUUGUCUUUGCACUAGGCUUUCUGUUUCUCUAGACUCUUUAGAAGUCUGGCAGUUUGCUUAAUKCUGGGCAGAGGACACCCGUUAUUCCGCAGGAGCUCUCCUAAGGACUCUGCCACAUAUCCAAAGGGUGAUCGGGACUUCAAURCUUUGAAAAAGAGCUUCCUUCCCCCUCCACCAUCCCCCGCCUUGCCCAGUGGUACAUUUUUGUUUUGAUCCAAAGAAGCACUAUAAAACUAUGAUCAAGAAAUAUUUAUUAAUCUGCUCCCUUGUUUGGGGUUGCUGAGGCGUGAAAGGAGCAAGGUGGAUCAGGGCUGAUUCAUACGGUAAGCAGCUGUAGUACUGAAUCAAAUUAAUCCACCUAUUGUUAAAAAGGGGCUAUGGAGCUUUUCCUUUCUAGCUUUUAUGCUAGACAUAGAAACUAUUUCAUCUUYUGAAUGAUUUGCCGUGUACUAGAGUUUGUUGCUCUGAGCUCUACACAGAUGCAAAAGAUUCUUUUCUUAUAGCCUUGCUUAAGUAGCAUGUACACUAGUAACAGGCUUUGUGAUGUUGUAAUUGUUAAGAUGGUAUAAGACGUGCUGUUAUGUUGUUUUUUUAACCUUUUGGAGGAAAUUAUAUUUCUCAAGUUACUAUUAAAACCAGUUUCCUGCAGACUGUGGCUGUGUCACCUCCACUUUCAAUUGCCCUGGCGUUCUCUAUGGAAGAAGUUAACCUGGCUUCGAGACUUGGUCAUUCCUUAAUCUUGUUUCUAACCACUUGUUAUGACACUGGAAUUCAUUUCUUUCUGCCGUGGGAUAAACUUUCUUCUUAUUCAGAACAGGUUACUAGCAUGAGUUUGAGCAUGAUGCUAACUUUAUUAAAAAUUAACUUGUCUGGUUAUGUACCAGGCACAAACAUAAACGUGUCUGGGUAACCAUUUUCCAAAUACCAGUGAAAUACGUAAUUUUCACUGGUCCAAUAAUCCUUGGAACYAUCUUCAAGCUUUGCUCUGAAGCCAUGUGAGCAGAGACGCUCCUUUGGAACCUCUGCCUUUUUAUAAAUCUCUUUYGCAAACAUAGUUUUGGUGUGGCCAAGAAAAAGAAAUUUUUUAGCUUCAGCUAAUUUGAUCGACUUCCAAAAAGUGGAACUGAACCCAUUUAUUCUGCUUUGAACUGGUGGCUCUGAGAAUGAAGCUGGAAGAAGGGCUGGUGCCCCUACUGACACAGUACCUCGGUUCUGCUUCAGUGCAAAUCUGAACUGUUGAUUUUGGAGCAAUGAUUCUGAAUCCUAUAUGUGGCUAUCGGCAAUACUGGAACACUGGGAGCUCUGUA
This is a long non-coding RNA of Nothoprocta perdicaria, 1748 nucleotides long. RefSeq lists it as uncharacterized. The transcript is spliced from 2 exons. Lineage: Eukaryota; Metazoa; Chordata; Aves; Tinamiformes; Tinamidae. The record is from RefSeq and is a predicted model, not a curated record.